CUUCUUCUUCUUCUUCUUCUUCUUCUUCUUCUUCUUCUUCUUCUUCUUCUCUCCUCCUCCUCCUCCUCCUCCUCCUCCUCCUCCUCCUCCUCCUCCUCCUCCUCUUAACUAACGUGUGCAAUUUGGCAUUAUUGGAGUAAUUUUUCUUAUAAUUUUCUUAGUUUUUGUCUUUGCUUUCCAACACUAACGACUGUAAUGGCCGAACUGGUCGUUAAGAGGUGAUGGCGGACUAUAUUUAGUCUUGUUAGCGGUAAUGACUCAUUUUGUAGUCGCGGUUGCCGAUUUAUUGGUGUGUGUGUGUGUGUGUGUGUGGCGAGAGAGGGAGAGCGAUAAAGACUCAUUAUUAUAGUUAUUAAGCAACCUUCCUUCUCUCUCUCUCUCUCUCUCUCUCUCUCUCUCUCUCUCUCUCUCUCUCUCUCUCUCUCUCGUUAAGCCUGCAUUUACUUAGGUUAUUAUAAUAUUAGGCACUUUAAAAAGACUGAGGGAAAAGAAUAUAAGUGUAAAUAAUAUGAAAGAAAAAGGAAUGAAAGAAUACCACUGUUUACAUUAUUAAUUAAAAGUGUAUGUCAUCUCUUUUCUUUUGUUUCUUUUUCUUUUCUUUUUUUAUUUUCCCCCACCCUGUUUUGUAUCUUCACUUUUUAUCCUCUCUCUGUCUAUCUUCGCUCUUUUUUUUUUUUUUUUUUCUCUCUCUCUCUCUUCGCUCUCUCUUUCACACCAUAAAAUCCCUUCCAGCCUUUCCCCGUCAGUAUAUUGCACCAUUAUAACCAUUGUAUUUUUCCACACGAUUUUGUCAAAGAAAACACGAAAACAAACCGUUAAUUCACAAAGUUCCAAAAAUGUGUCAAACUGUCGAGAUGAUUCGGUGCCGCCAUGAGCAACCGAAGUAAACAUUGAGACAGAGCACGUGGAGCCUUCAUCGGCCGACCCUUGCCUGAAUAUUGGUUAGUUUGUUAGUGUUUCUCGUUCUUACUGAUGUCAUUGGAGUUAGUGUUUUCAAAGUGCUGUGAAGAACAAUACUAUUACUACUACUACUACUACGACUACGAGUGGAUACUGCUACAACAACUACAACAACUACAACUACCACCAGUCAUCUCUUGAAAACAGCGGAUGCAACACCGCACAAGGAGAGAUGGAUUCAAGUUAACUCGUCCGCUAAACGGAUUCCGCUGGAACGGAAGCGGAAAGAAGUGACCAUUCCCCGGUUCAUAGGCAAGCGGAACCGUAUGACGUCACACUUACCACGGAUGACGGAAGACGGAAGACGUUAAACCUUGGUGUGAACCGGGCCUAAGGGUGAGUAUAUUAGAAGGGGAGACCAGAAGCAUAGUCUCUCAAUCUCCAUAAUGAGUCAAUUAUUUCCCAUUUUUUUUCGUAAUUGGACAGAUACAGUAAGUCCUUAUACGGUACUUCGUUAUCUGGUAAAUUCCCAGUUACGGUGUUUGGUAAUUACUACCCUCGAUUCUGUUUAUGGUAAGAAAAAAUUCACAGAUACGGUAUCCACUCAUGUUUUGUUUACACUUUACCCCGUACCGUAGCGCCACCACACCGCAGCCACCACAACAAUCCGUCUCUUCCUGCGUUUCCCACUGAACAUACAGUGAAAUCCUUACGGCAUGUUUUUUGUCGAUAUUAUGAAUAAGGGCUGAAAUUCCUACUGUCCCUUAGCCUUGGGAGGGACAUCAUCUGAUGGAAUACGUGGCAAGUGAAAGGUAAAUAAAAACAUUUUCUGUUUUUCUUUUGCGCAGUACUUUACGUUUUUUUUAUAUGACUAUUUUCUUGUGUGUAAGGGUGACUUUCGACGUGCUGGAACACAUCCCCUAUUAUUACAUGUUGUAAUGGGUUCGGUAUACGGUAAUUUUGAUUUGCAGUAAGGUCUUCAGGAAUGUGUAUGUACCGUAUAACGAGGACUUACUGUAUUUUCCUUUAUAAUGGAGACAAAUAUUUUUAGUGGUGAGAAUA
RNAcentral lists this long non-coding RNA (1962 nucleotides) under Portunus trituberculatus (swimming crab). RNAcentral describes it as "uncharacterized LOC123502538, transcript variant X1". The record is from RNAcentral. Lineage: Eukaryota; Metazoa; Arthropoda; Malacostraca; Decapoda; Portunidae.